GUGAAUCAUCGAAUCUUUGAACGCAACUUGCGCUCUCUGGUAUUCCGGAGAGCAUGCCUGUUUGAGUGUCAUGAAAUCUCAACCACCAGGGUUUCUUGGUGGCUUGGAUCUGGGCAUCUGCCAGUCUCGCACUGGCUUGCCUUAAAGGAGUUAGCGUGUGUCACGUGUCGUUUCUGGCGUAAUAAGUUUCGCUGGGGAAGACAUGAGAAGUGCGCUUCGAAUCGUCCUCUGGACAAUUUUUUGAACUCUGGCCUCAAAUCAGGUAGGACUACCCGCUGAACUUAAGCAUAUCAAUAAGCGGAGGA
RNAcentral lists this unclassified non-coding RNA (305 nucleotides) under Cutaneotrichosporon sp. RNAcentral's name for it is "partial contains 5.8S ribosomal RNA, internal transcribed spacer 2, and large subunit ribosomal RNA". The stretch from base 1 to 71 matches the Rfam family "5.8S ribosomal RNA", at positions 84 to 154 of the family's 154-position model. Lineage: Eukaryota; Fungi; Basidiomycota; Tremellomycetes; Trichosporonales; Trichosporonaceae. The record is from RNAcentral.